Non-coding RNA from Meleagris gallopavo (turkey), 6336 nucleotides. The record is from RefSeq and is a predicted model, not a curated record. NCBI's taxonomy places the organism in Eukaryota, Metazoa, Chordata, Aves, Galliformes, Phasianidae.
ACGCUUAGAGAAGAACGUAAAGGAAGUGCUUGAAGACUUUGCUGAGGACAAUGAAAAGAAGGUUAAGCUCCUAACUGGCAAAAGGGUCCAGCUCGCAGAGGAUCUCAGGCAAUUUCAUUAAUAUGAGGCUCAGAUCGGCUUCCUGAUUGGAAACUAUAAUUACAAAAAUUUCUUUAAAGACCUGAGGUGAAGAUGCUUCCUUCUGAUAUGGCAACCCUAUCGUACUUCCAUCUGUCAGUCCUUUAACGUUGAACACUGGAUGUGUUUUACUGUUUGUUCAAGAUAUGGUUGAUGGCAAACUGUUUCUAGCAUGGUGACUCAAUUUCAUAACGAGAGCUUAUCCCAGAACUUAUUUGAGCAAGUUUUGUCUGUGUUCUACAUCCUGGACUGGUGUUUCAGCCCUGUAUUCUUAAGGAUUAAUAGGGUUUUGGAAAUCUUGCGAUGGAUGGAUCCCAGUAAUAUCCCUGGCAGUGAGCAGGUAUGGGUACUCAAGGAAAAGAAUAAGAACAGGUUAAACAUACAGCAGUACUUGUUAGAUGCUGAAAGAGCAGACCAGACAAUCUGUGGUUCCAAGAUUUCCUAAUCCUGAGGUAAUAUCUUUGUGAUUAAUAGCCCUUCAUGGGUUUCUUUCUCCUCCUGUGAAUUUCUCUAAUUGCUUUUUGAACUCUUAUAAACUUUGGCAUCUGCAACAUCCUGUGGCAAUUAGUUCCAGAGUUUAGCUACACAUUGUGUGAAAAAGUACUUCCUUUUGUUUGUUUCUGAGCCACCUGCCAGUUUCAUUUGGUUCUCCCUAGUUCUUGCACUGUGAAAAACCUUCAGUAAUCUUUCUCUAUUCAGUUUUUGUGCUACUUAUGACUUCAUACAUGCUUAUGCUACCAGCGUUUGCUCUUCUUUUUCCUGAACUGAAAAAUCCUCAUUUGUGUAGUUGCUCGUUGCAAGGACAUUGUUUCAUCAUUUCAAGCAGCCUUGCCACUCUUUUCCUUUUUUUAGUUCCACUAAACCCCUUUUGAAUUGAAAGAGCAGAACUGCACACAGUAUUUGGGCUGUACCUGCGUUCUGGACUUAUGCAGUUGUAUUACAAUUCUUUCUGGUUUUUAAUCUGGUCUUUUACUAAUAAUUCCUCAUAGUUCAUUUCCUUUCUUGACUUCUGAGCAAUGAGAUGAUGAUUAUGUUAGCUACCUGCUGCAACUCACUCUUCUGUGAGAAAUAGCAGCCAGCUCAGCAUCAAUCAGCCUAGUCGUUUUCCUUGCUUUGUUUUAAAAACACAUCUGACUUUUUUUUUGUUUUGUUUUUCUGAGGAUGUGGAAACAAGAAAAUUUCUGUCUCUUAUACAUCUGGUUGGGCACUUCAGGCAUUGUAGGAGCCUGGUUUAAUGUUGGUAUUCAUAACAUCCCUCACAACUCUGGUGCAACAUUAAUACUGAAGUUCUCCACUGAAGUUGUCUGACAGCUGAAAAUCAUAGCCAGGUCUUAAAUCACAUAUUGGAUGGCCUUAUCAGCAACAACAAGACUUGCAUUUGCUUUCCAGUUGGCAGAUGCUUCUUGCUUGUGCACACUGCCAAAGGACAAAGCAUUUUGAUUUGAAACUUAUGUUACACGCAACUUGGUGUUUUCCUGUAUGCUUAGCUAAAUCGGUAUCUUAAACACAUUGUGUGCUGGGUGGUUCAGUAAGAAACAAAAUAGGAUAGUGGAAGCAAAAGUAUUAUGGCAGACAUGGAUAUUUUGAAGGAAAAUUUCCACUUGUGAAAAUACCUUCUGUCAGGACUCUCCUGUCCUUUAUAUUGCAGGCUUUCAGGCACUGCUGCUGGCUGGGUACAACAUCCAGUAGGUAAUGGUGGCAAAUUUCUCUCCUUUGGCUGUGCUGUACACAAGUGUGUAUAGCUGUACACAAAGCUUUCUCACUUUUUCUAAAAUUCUGCUUGACUUAUGCAUUUUAAAUAUCAGUUAUCCUUUGUUAACAGUAUUUUAGAAAGUGAGUCCAUCUGGACUGAGUAUAAUGCAUUUAGAAGAUGGGUAUAUCUUGAAUCUCUCAGUAAUAUUUUAUUUGCUAGAAUGUUACAUGGUUCUGUGAUAUUCUGUUUAACUUUUCCAAGGUGUUUGACAUUAAAUCCUCAAGCAGAUUGCCACUGAGAGGUUGUACAUUUUAAAUACAUUUAAAACGUGUUUUUUUUUCUGCAGAACUUGUUAGAACUGUGAAACUACUGGCAUUUGCUGAGCUUCAGGGCCUUUUUGAUGGCAAUGCUAAGAACAGUUGAUUACUUACGUGAUUCUGUCUGACAUCAAACCAUCUCUGCUAGUUUGAAAGAGCUAUAUCCUUCUGCUUUUCAGUAGCGGGCAUAUGUUUUCUUCAGGGGAAGAAAAAAGAACAUAAAUGUCAGAAAAUUUGGUUUCAAAAUAGAGAAACAACAGGGUAGUGAUUUUAGUUAAGUGCUCUGCAGUUCAGAGCAAAACUGACGAGGUGGAUAAAACUUAACUUUCUGUAGACCAUUUAACAUGGCUGCUUUUGUUGCUGUUGAGCUCCCUGUGAAGGGCUUCCCAGAACUACCCAGCUGUUUUCAGAAUUCUGCUCUGCUGGACUCGCUUCUGUUCUGUUGAAGGCCAAAGGAAACUUCAUUAGCGUCAACUCUGUACAGCAGCGAAGUUGCUUUACAACUUUCCAACGCAAGAUGGCAAUGAGUGGUCUUUAUAGGAGUGAGGAAGUCGAGCAUGGCAGCAGGGCCGGUGCCAAAGCCUCCCAUCGCUGGUUACCGUUUCUCUGUUCUUGAUGCAUGAAUGUGGCACAUCCACAGUGGGCGUUUGUUUGCACAGUGGGCAUUUGUUUCUUGGAUGUUAGCCUUUUUCAUCCGAGGGGAAGAUGCAUUUACCCAGCCUUUUUCCUUCUUGUUUUCUGCUCCCUGAUGUUUUGUUUGCUUAUUUACAUAUUUUACAUAACAUUUAUAAAUAUUGUAAGAGGUGAACGUUUUUCUCAGAUAAUCCUCAUUAGCAGAUGCACGGCAAAUUUUAUUUGGUAAUGAAACCUUCUGACUGUCACAAUCUAAAUGCUUCAACCAUUUGGGAAAGUGAAUGGGACCUUCCAGUAUUGUAUCCUAAACAUAAGCUACAAAUACGUGUUGCAGUGGCAUUUAAAAAUGCUAGGUGGUGCAUGUAUAUUGAAUACCUACAGUGAAUCCUAACAUCAGGCCAUCAGCAGGAGCUUUGCUGUUUACUUCACUAAAGACAAAAUAUUUUACCAAGCCUAAGAAAAUAUGCAUGCUCUAUCUUUCUCUACUUCCUCUUCUUUAUUCCUUUCAGACAGCUAAAGUAUGAGCGUUAUAAAGGCUUAUAAAAGUUAUUUGUGUGAAAAGGUGAUUUUUGCACAGGAUAAUCUCACAGAAGGCUAAUAAAUGCAAAGUAUAUUUCCUCAAUCAUCCAAUAUCCUAUUUCCUCACAAGCUUUUAAAAAAAAAUAAUAAUCCCUGAAUUAUGUAUAAAACCACGUGCAUUUAUGUGGGGAAAGUCCUUGCAAAAAGCUUGGGGAAAUUUGAUCCUGAAUUUACUAGGUUUGAAUGUGAAGGGGUCAGCCUGCAAGUUCAUUUGUCAGUAACACUGACACCUGUACAGGUGUCCUGGGCUAGCUGAGACUUCGUUCUGCACAAAAGCCUUUUGAAACCUGUAGGUAGUGAGCCCUCACAUGAAGAAAAGGCAGUUCUUAGCCUGGGGCCAUUUGUUUGAGUUCUGUCAUACAUUUUUAACUUUGUAAAAUAUAAUAAUUUGUGGAACUUAAUUUUUAAGACUAAAGCGUAUAAAAAACUAAAUCAGUGUUAUAGUAAAAUACUUCAGAGUUCUAUAUCUAAAGCCAUUGCCUCAGUGUCACCACCUGAAGUUCUCAAGAUAUUCUGUUGAAUCCAUUAUAGCUGAAUAUAAACCUUGCAGUUAGACUGUGCUGCGUUCUAUUUUGCAAACUGUCUUUGAGCUCAAAUGAUUUAAUAUCAUAUGUAUAUGUAAUCAAUUUUAAUGCAGUUAGAAAGCUGGCAGUAUGUCUGGUACUUCCAUAUGAAAGCUGAUAACUCGGAAUCUGGGAUUUCUGCACUAUAUUUGGCUGAGUGGGCUCUGUGCCUGUGGGCUUUAAAUCAGUUUGCUCAUACAAGUCAUCUUUUUUCUUUAUACGUUUAUGUAAAGUUGAGGAAGUUUGUGAGUAGCACUUUGCAGACAAUGCCUUGCUCCACGAUUGUGUGGCUUUUUUCCUUUUAUUGCUGCUAGCUGCAGAAUUAAAUGCUGUGCGAAACUCAUAUUGUGGUUAUUACUGUAGUCUAAUUAAAUUUCAGUCUCUUGAGGUGACUGUCAACAGUAUUUUGAUUUUUUACUUCUGUCCUACAUGACAGUGUUGAUUACAUAUGCCCUUGACUUGGCUUUGUCUUAACUUUCUAAUGCCUUUACUUCUAGUUUUUUUUGCUGUUAUGAACUUCACAUUUUUUUUAAAAGGUUAAAAGGUUUCAUGGGGGGAAAAGCUCAGCUGUAGGAGGAAGGUUCUGCUCUCAAAUGGGCAGAUCUCAGAUAAUUUACCCUGGAAACCAAAGGACAAAAGGCCAAAAAGCUGUUAGUAGUUCUUACGUCAGUAUUUGAGGUGGAUGCUCAGAAGCAACAUAGUUUUCAGUGUUUAAAAGACAGAAAAAAAAGGUGUAAUUUUGAAAAUGCUGACUGUAAUGCUCAGAUGUCAUUCGUACUGCAAAAGGGAUUCUCAAAGAAUGACAUGGGAAAAAAAGGCAGCAUUAUAGGAAGUCCAUAUGGAGAAGUUGCUUUUAAGAAUUUGCAGUAUUAUAGUAAUUUUGUGCCCUCUUUUCUUCCGUGGUGUGUAACUGUUGCUUGGGAAGCUACUUAAGGAAAAUGUGGUCACUUCAUAGUUGUGAGAUGUUUCAUGUAAGCGGCAGCAGUCUUGUUCAGCUCCAUUCAGAUGCUUGUGGCAGUGUGCUUGUGAGAAGCACGUAAUUCUGAGCUGACCCUGAGCUGACAGAAGUUUACACAGGAGGUGCUGUGGCCUUUUAUCCAGACAAAAACAGAGGGGCUGUUUCUCCCUGGGAGUCAUCAAAUGCAUUUCCAGUGUGUGCUAAGUAGUGGCUGUCUUCAGUCCCCUCCAACAGCUCCUACUGGGAUGCUCCAUGGCCUGCAUCUUAUCAGAGGCAGACUGUCACUUAGAAAACAUUCAUUUCUGCCUAAAUCUUAAUCAAUUAAAGUGCUCAUGUGGGCCAUGUGUGUCAAACGAGUUCAAGCUUGUUCUGAUGUCAGGAGCAUAGAGGUGACAGCAGGACUGCCAUGCUCCAUUUGAGUCCUGUGUAGGAUGUGGGGCUCUGUGAUGCACAGUCAGGAGUGGUGUGCUUGGAAUUUGGUCAGUGUGGCCAUCCUUGUCUUCCGUUUCCCCUGCCUUUGAAUGUUGCAAGUCAACUAAAAUGCAUCCUGUUAUUUUUAGUAGAUGUGUUUCAGUUCUUUUUCUUUGAGUUCUGGGGCAGCUGCAUGAGACUGAAGAAUUAAAACCAGAAGAAUGUGUAGGAUGGUCUCUGUCAAAAUGCAGAAGAUAAGGUAGUUCCUGCUUUGUAUCACAGCAGAAAGUGCUUUAAAAAGCUGCAUCUUCUCAGAGAGGGAAAUAAUCCUCCAGGGAGAACAUCCAUCACUUGUAAGCCUCCUGUGAUGGAGUGAUGGUUUACUUUACUUAAGAAUCCCAGAUGACCAAGGUCUGUCUGCUGUGAUUUCUUAAAGUUAUUGAUGAAGAGUUAGGCUCUGGUGUCCAGGUUCUAAAACAGAUCCUUAAAAAGUUCAGCACAUUUGUCACUGACUAAGUGAAGCCUAUCACUUAAAGCUGACAUUGAAAAAUAAUGAUAAACUGCUACAUGAGUAAUGACACAUUUAAUGCCUGUUGAUCUAGACCUGUGCCUCAACCCAUGCCUCUUGUACUUGAGGGUCAUUCUGUUGUAUGCCAAAUUUAAUUUUUUUUCCUAAAAUGCCCUUAGUGAUGCAAGGAUCAAGACACGUAAUUGGUUGAUAUUUUCUUUUUCAUGCUGGCUUUUUGAGAGUAGCUAUUAAUCAAGUUGGAAGUACUUAUUGUGAGGAGAUUGCUAUUUGUACAAAUGCAGAAUUUUAAACUAAGCUCUGUAGGUGUGUGUUUGGUAUGAGUAUGUAACUGUAGAGUAUAAUGUUCACAUCUCUAAAAGCUAGAGAAAUCAAUGUAAUGACUUUUCAUGCUGUUGUACAUUGUACUUUGCUUCUAAUGUGUAAGUCUAUACAAAAGCUCAAAGAAAAGGAAAUAUUUUCUGAUAAUGAUUAUGACAAAAUAAUAAAAUAACUGAACAACCUGCUUUUCCCUUAAA